CGGUAAUACGGAGGAUCCGAGCGUUAUCCGGAUUUAUUGGGUUUAAAGGGUGCGUAGGCGGCCUUGUAAGUCAGGGGUGAAAGACGGUAGCUUAACUAUCGCAGUGCCUUUGAUACUGCAGGGCUUGAAUGUACUUGAGGUAGGCGGAAUGUGACAAGUAGCAGUGAAAUGCGUAGAUAUCUGUUAGAAUACCAAUGGCGAAGGCAGUUGCCUGGCCCGUUACUGACGCAAAAGCACGAAAGUGUGGGGAGCAAACAGGAUUAGAUACCCUGGUAGUCCACACCCUAAACGAUGAGAACUAGUUGUUGGUCCUUUUAAGGAUCAGUGACUUAGCUAACGCAUUAAGUUCUCCACCUGGGAAGUACGAUCGCAAGGUUGAAACUCAAAGGAAUUGACGGGGGCCCGCACAAGCAGUGGAGCAUGUGGUUUAAUUCGAUGCAACGCGAAGAACCUUACCUAGGCUUGAAACGCAAGUUAAAUUUGGUGAAAGCCAUUGUCCCGCAAGGGGAACUUGUACAGGUGCUGCAUGGCUGUCGUCAGCUCGUGCCGUGAGGUGUUGGGUUAAGUCCCGCAACGAGCGCAACCCUCGUCCUUAGUUGCCAGCAAGUAAUGUUGGGCACUCUAAGGAGACUGCCUACGCAAGUAGUGAGGAAGGUGGGGAUGAUGUCAAGUCCGCAUGGCCCUUACGCCUAGGGCCACACACGUGCUACAAUGGUCACUACAAAGGGUAGCAAUGCCGCAAGGUGGAGCCAAUCCCUAAAAAGUGAUCUCAGUUCGGAUUGGAGUCUGCAACUCGACUCCAUGAAGCUGGAAUUGCUAGUAAUCGCGGAUCAGAACGCCGCGGUGAAUACGUUCCCGGGCCUUGUACACACCGCCCGUCAAGCCAUGGAAGCUGGGGGUACCCGAAGUCGCCUUUAACAAGCGCCGAAGGUAAAACCAGUGACUGGGGCUAAGUCGUAACAAGGUAGCCGU
RNAcentral lists this ribosomal RNA (972 nucleotides) under uncultured bacterium. Its description in RNAcentral is "bacterial SSU rRNA". It matches the Rfam family "Bacterial small subunit ribosomal RNA", at positions 518 to 1503 of the family's 1533-position model. The record is from RNAcentral.